Molecule: long non-coding RNA, 442 nt
Organism: Oncorhynchus tshawytscha (Chinook salmon)
Lineage: Eukaryota; Metazoa; Chordata; Actinopteri; Salmoniformes; Salmonidae
Source: Ensembl
GUGAGGGGAGACGGAAACACCUGGUGGGGGAUGGAGACACCUGGUGGGGGUGGAGACCAGCACAAAGACAGGUGAGGGGAGACGGAGACACCUGGUGGGGAUGGAGACACCUGGUGGGGGGUGGAGACAGGCACAAAGACAGGUGAGGGGAGACGGAGACACCUGGUGGGGGGUGGAGACAAGCACAAAGACAGGUGAGGGGAGACGGAGACACCUGGUGGGGGGUGGAGACAGGCACAAAGACAGGUGAGGGGAGAUGGAGACACCUGGUGGGGGGUGGAGACAAGCACAAAGACAGGUGAGGGGAGAUGGAGACACCUGGUGGGGGGUGGAGACAGGCACAAAGACAGGUGAGGGGAGAUGGAGACACCUGGUGGGGGGUGGAGACCAGCACAAAGACAGGUGAGGGGAGAUGGAGACACCUGGUGGGGGGGGACAAACA